Macrosteles quadrilineatus (aster leafhopper) is the source of this 687-nucleotide long non-coding RNA. RefSeq lists it as uncharacterized. Lineage: Eukaryota; Metazoa; Arthropoda; Insecta; Hemiptera; Cicadellidae. The transcript has 5 exons. The record is from RefSeq and is a predicted model, not a curated record.
CGCUCACUCAGAACAUUAUCGCUGUAUUUUAAAGCUGUUCAUGAGACGUGUAACAAUAAGAUAUGUUUGAUGGAUCGUAUGCAAUCAAAGGUUUCAUACGUUACCCUUUCUUGGCUGCAAUAAGCGAGUGCAGCUACCUUUCAGUAGGACAGAACGUAUCACUACUAGUUUGUGUGAUAACUUGGAUGAUAACGGCCCUUUAUUAUCGCCGCAAGCUUGGAAGACAUCAGGAAGUGAGAAAACUUCAAAGGAGAUACCCUACCUUACAGGUCACUCCUAAAACAUAGGCUGAAAUGAGGAUCGCACAUCAAUUGAAGUACAGGCCUGGACAAAACGUUCCAUUUUUGGUAACAGUAGCUAGAGGAGGAUAUUUAGAGGUUGGUUUCUGGAACUGUCUGAUCUACGGGCUGAUCGCGUGGUCUCUCACUUCCUACUACUACGAGAAGAAACUUGAGGAUGAAGAGGAGAAGAGGAAAUGGCACAAACGAUAUCCUGGCUUAGACAAGGACAUUAUCUACUGAUUGUGUGAAUAGUUUGACUGUUGCAUGAAAGAGUCUUCACAGCUAAACGCUUGAUUUGAAGUUGUAAAUAUUAAAUAGUGUGGUGUGGUAAAUAUCAUGACACUAUUACUUUGGUAUUAUACCAACCACACCUAAAUUGGUUACCCAUGUGUUUAGGUUAGGUUAU